GGGAAAUGAAUAUAUAAAGGAACAGAGUUCUUAAUAGUUCUAUAAGGCAACAAAAAAGGAGUUUGUAUUGUCUUUCUAUUUCAUAGAAAAGUCCAUGACUGUGGAUCUAAUAACCUCAUGAAAGUUGGGACACCAAAGUGGUGGAAUGCAUUGACAAUGAACGCAGCCCUCUGUCGACUGGUGAUGGAUUUUCUGUAGAUGGUAUCAGUAGGCGCAGCAGAAAUGAGAUGCAGUGUAUUCCUUCCCUGGAAGACAGCUGCGGCUUCUGACUUCUGUGCCUGGAAUUUUUGACUCUCUUUUGCUUGCUUUGGUAGUCUACUGAUGCUAUCAACUUCUCAAGAGCUUUUGUUUAGGUUUUUUUUCCCCCCUGGCUCUCCAUUUUCCCUCCCCCUCCCCAAGGCCCACUAUUUCCUUUCCUGCAUUGGAUGAAUGUAAAUGAGAUUUUCUGACUGCCAAGAGCAAACCUACAAAUAACCAUAAGCAAAGCAAAAGUUCAUUUAAAAUGUUAAACAAAAGCUCUGGUCUAACCCUAGCUCAGUCAUGCCCCCUGGGGUUGUCAGGUUAGUAGCAGCGUGCUAGUUUUCCUGUAUGUGGCAGUCACAGUGACAGCAGUCUGGUAUAGAAACAUCCAGGAAGGUUUAAAUCAGUUGAAAUGCUGGUAGCAGUCAAGUUAUGGCAACGCCAUACUCAGCACACGUUAAUUAGCCAUACCUUUUCAUGCAGGUUUGCUGAGCUCUUGCUGACAUAACUACUGUUGGAUCACAAAUGUUUUUUUUUAAUCUAGGUUGGAGUAUGUACUUCACAGCAGCCACCAUAUGACUGCAGUUUAGACAUAACUUCAAGUGCCAUCAGCAGGCUUGCGCUGAAAGGGUCUCACUGUUCUUCCGUCUCCCAGGGGAGAUCAAUGAAAAGGAGGCAAGGUCACAAAGUGGAAGCAUCUUGGCCUGUGACCAGGGAGGAUGUACACUGCAGUCCUCUUCAGGACUUCCACUGACUCAGCGGGCAGCUGGAAGAGUAAAAAGCCAGAGUCUCCAAGCAAAUAGUACUUUUCCAUGGAUGAUACCUUUGAUUUCAAUAUUUACAUCCUAG
Molecule: long non-coding RNA, 1089 nt
Filed under: Calidris pygmaea (Spoon-billed sandpiper)
Lineage: Eukaryota; Metazoa; Chordata; Aves; Charadriiformes; Scolopacidae
Description: lncRNA (ENSCPGG00000015615.1)
Source: RNAcentral